ACUCAGACGUGAAUACCCGCUGAACUUAAGCAUAUCAUUUAGCGGAGGA
RNAcentral lists this ribosomal RNA (49 nucleotides) under Pratylenchus coffeae. RNAcentral's name for it is "partial 28S ribosomal RNA". The record is from RNAcentral. Lineage: Eukaryota; Metazoa; Nematoda; Chromadorea; Rhabditida; Pratylenchidae.